This 2924-nucleotide ribosomal RNA is filed under the name Klebsiella pneumoniae. RNAcentral describes it as "23S ribosomal RNA". It matches the Rfam family "Bacterial large subunit ribosomal RNA". Lineage: Bacteria; Pseudomonadati; Pseudomonadota; Gammaproteobacteria; Enterobacterales; Enterobacteriaceae. The record is from RNAcentral.
GGGUUGUGAGGUUAAGCGACUAAGCGUACACGGUGGAUGCCCUGGCAGUCAGAGGCGAUGAAGGACGUGCUAAUCUGCGAAAAGCGUCGGUAAGGUGAUAUGAACCGUUAUAACCGGCGAUGUCCGAAUGGGGAAACCCAGUGCAAUUCGUUGCACUAUCGUUAACUGAAUACAUAGGUUAACGAGGCGAACCGGGGGAACUGAAACAUCUAAGUACCCCGAGGAAAAGAAAUCAACCGAGAUUCCCCCAGUAGCGGCGAGCGAACGGGGAGCAGCCCAGAGUCUGAAUCAGCUUGUGUGUUAGUGGAACGGUCUGGAAAGUCCGACGGUACAGGGUGAUAGUCCCGUACACCAAAAUGCACAGGCUGUGAACUCGAAGAGUAGGGCGGGACACGUGGUAUCCUGUCUGAAUAUGGGGGGACCAUCCUCCAAGGCUAAAUACUCCUGACUGACCGAUAGUGAACCAGUACCGUGAGGGAAAGGCGAAAAGAACCCCGGCGAGGGGAGUGAAAAAGAACCUGAAACCGUGUACGUACAAGCAGUGGGAGCACCUUUAUGGUGUGACUGCGUACCUUUUGUAUAAUGGGUCAGCGACUUAUAUUCUGUAGCAAGGUUAACCGUAUAGGGGAGCCGCAGGGAAACCGAGUCUUAACUGGGCGUUAAGUUGCAGGGUAUAGACCCGAAACCCGGUGAUCUAGCCAUGGGCAGGUUGAAGGUUGGGUAACACUAACUGGAGGACCGAACCGACUAAUGUUGAAAAAUUAGCGGAUGACUUGUGGCUGGGGGUGAAAGGCCAAUCAAACCGGGAGAUAGCUGGUUCUCCCCGAAAGCUAUUUAGGUAGCGCCUCGUGAACUCAUCUUCGGGGGUAGAGCACUGUUUCGGCUAGGGGGUCAUCCCGACUUACCAACCCGAUGCAAACUACGAAUACCGAAGAAUGUUAUCACGGGAGACACACGGCGGGUGCUAACGUCCGUCGUGAAGAGGGAAACAACCCAGACCGCCAGCUAAGGUCCCAAAGUCAUGGUUAAGUGGGAAACGAUGUGGGAAGGCACAGACAGCCAGGAUGUUGGCUUAGAAGCAGCCAUCAUUUAAAGAAAGCGUAAUAGCUCACUGGUCGAGUCGGCCUGCGCGGAAGAUGUAACGGGGCUAAACCAUGCACCGAAGCUGCGGCAGCGACACUAUGUGUUGUUGGGUAGGGGAGCGUUCUGUAAGCCUGCGAAGGUGUGCUGUGAGGCAUGCUGGAGGUAUCAGAAGUGCGAAUGCUGACAUAAGUAACGAUAAAGCGGGUGAAAAGCCCGCUCGCCGGAAGACCAAGGGUUCCUGUCCAACGUUAAUCGGGGCAGGGUGAGUCGACCCCUAAGGCGAGGCCGAAAGGCGUAGUCGAUGGGAAACAGGUUAAUAUUCCUGUACUUGGUGUUACUGCGAAGGGGGGACGGAGAAGGCUAUGUUAGCCGGGCGACGGUUGUCCCGGUUUAAGCAUGUAGGCUGGUUAUCCAGGCAAAUCCGGAUAAUCAAGGCUGAGGUGUGAUGACGAGGCACUACGGUGCUGAAGUAACAAAUGCCCUGCUUCCAGGAAAAGCCUCUAAGCAUCAGGUAACAUUAAAUCGUACCCCAAACCGACACAGGUGGUCAGGUAGAGAAUACCAAGGCGCUUGAGAGAACUCGGGUGAAGGAACUAGGCAAAAUGGUGCCGUAACUUCGGGAGAAGGCACGCUGGUGUGUAGGUGAAGCCCCUGCGGGUGGAGCUGAGACCAGUCGAAGAUACCAGCUGGCUGCAACUGUUUAUUAAAAACACAGCACUGUGCAAACACGAAAGUGGACGUAUACGGUGUGACGCCUGCCCGGUGCCGGAAGGUUAAUUGAUGGGGUUAUCCGUAAGGAGAAGCUCUUGAUCGAAGCCCCGGUAAACGGCGGCCGUAACUAUAACGGUCCUAAGGUAGCGAAAUUCCUUGUCGGGUAAGUUCCGACCUGCACGAAUGGCGUAAUGAUGGCCAGGCUGUCUCCACCCGAGACUCAGUGAAAUUGAACUCGCUGUGAAGAUGCAGUGUACCCGCGGCAAGACGGAAAGACCCCGUGAACCUUUACUAUAGCUUGACACUGAACAUUGAGCCUUGAUGUGUAGGAUAGGUGGGAGGCUUUGAAGCGUGGACGCCAGUCUGCGUGGAGCCAACCUUGAAAUACCACCCUUUAAUGUUUGAUGUUCUAACGUUGGCCCCUGACCGGGGUUGCGGACAGUGUCUGGUGGGUAGUUUGACUGGGGCGGUCUCCUCCCAAAGCGUAACGGAGGAGCACGAAGGUUAGCUAAUCCUGGUCGGACAUCAGGAGGUUAGUGCAAUGGCAUAAGCUAGCUUGACUGCGAGCGUGACGGCGCGAGCAGGUGCGAAAGCAGGUCAUAGUGAUCCGGUGGUUCUGAAUGGAAGGGCCAUCGCUCAACGGAUAAAAGGUACUCCGGGGAUAACAGGCUGAUACCGCCCAAGAGUUCAUAUCGACGGCGGUGUUUGGCACCUCGAUGUCGGCUCAUCACAUCCUGGGGCUGAAGUAGGUCCCAAGGGUAUGGCUGUUCGCCAUUUAAAGUGGUACGCGAGCUGGGUUUAGAACGUCGUGAGACAGUUCGGUCCCUAUCUGCCGUGGGCGCUGGAGAAUUGAGGGGGGCUGCUCCUAGUACGAGAGGACCGGAGUGGACGCAUCACUGGUGUUCGGGUUGUCAUGCCAAUGGCACUGCCCGGUAGCUAAAUGCGGAAGAGAUAAGUGCUGAAAGCAUCUAAGCACGAAACUUGCCCCGAGAUGAGUUCUCCCUGAGACUUUAAGUCUCCUGAAGGAACGUUGAAGACGACGACGUUGAUAGGCCGGGUGUGUAAGCGCAGCGAUGCGUUGAGCUAACCGGUACUAAUGAACCGUGAGGCUUAACCUUACAACGCCGAAG